GGGAACUAGAGGACACAAAAUACUCAACGUCGUUGCCUUUGUAAGAGAACAGCUCUGUGCCUUCUUCAUUAGUAAUCUGCUGUUUCUGUUGCUCAAGAGGUUCUGGUUCUCCUGAACCUUCUCCACUGGCUUCCUCUGGGAGCUCUUGUACACUCAGUUUCCACUCCAGGGGAGCAUCACAGGGUGUCACUGUUACUGCUAGGGGUGUGUUGUCCUCUUCCACCACAAAAAAGUACCUUUUAGGUGUGUCUCGGAAGAGGUAGCUGCUAAUUUCGGCUCCAUCUGGGAUGACUGAUGAAUCAUGAAAAAACGCUUUGUCCCGGAUCUGCAUCUGGAAUAGCUCCUCAUCUCUGGUAGGCAGCUUCUGCAUCCUGGAGCUGAGCGGCAGCAGCAGCAAGAGCAGCGGGCAGUGGAGCAGGAGCAUCCUUGCUGCGUCCCGUCACGGAGAUCCCUCGGGGCCCGGCUUUUUCGGGAGGGGGGGGAGGUGUAUGGCGAAACCCCGCUCCGGCGGGGACGGGCUGCAGCUGGGACUGCGUCCCGCCCGUCCCUCCGCGCUUUAUAGCCCC
RNAcentral lists this long non-coding RNA (566 nucleotides) under Gallus gallus (chicken). The record is from RNAcentral. Lineage: Eukaryota; Metazoa; Chordata; Aves; Galliformes; Phasianidae.